GAGCAUGCCUGUCGGGACC
RNAcentral lists this small nuclear RNA (19 nucleotides) under Arabidopsis thaliana (thale cress). RNAcentral's name for it is "snRNA_11152". Lineage: Eukaryota; Viridiplantae; Streptophyta; Magnoliopsida; Brassicales; Brassicaceae. The record is from RNAcentral.